AGCUCAGUUGGUUAGAGCAUGGUGCUAAUAACACCAAGUUCACAGGUUCAAUCCCUGCU
Non-coding RNA from Pelecanus crispus (Dalmatian pelican), 59 nucleotides. The record is from Rfam. Lineage: Eukaryota; Metazoa; Chordata; Aves; Pelecaniformes; Pelecanidae.